GUUCUAUCAUACGCAGUCUAUUAUUUGGUUCUUGUUGAUCAUUAUCAUAGAAAGCAGCAGUGAAGGGGAUGUUACGGAACAAUUUCCACGGGCCCAAAAAGAAUCAAGAGAAUGUGAGGAAAUGAGUAUCCAAGUGUCAUCUGGUCUUACCUGGAGUUGUGGACGUUAGCAGAGCUGCAGUAUAUUGAAGGAUAUCUUAUAGGU
Schistocerca nitens (vagrant locust) is the source of this 204-nucleotide long non-coding RNA. RefSeq lists it as uncharacterized. The transcript is spliced from 3 exons. Lineage: Eukaryota; Metazoa; Arthropoda; Insecta; Orthoptera; Acrididae. The record is from RefSeq and is a predicted model, not a curated record.